Long non-coding RNA from Canis lupus familiaris (dog), 1311 nucleotides. RefSeq lists it as uncharacterized. Lineage: Eukaryota; Metazoa; Chordata; Mammalia; Carnivora; Canidae. The record is from RefSeq and is a predicted model, not a curated record. The transcript is spliced from 3 exons.
GCUUUAUGAUGUGAUGUGUUCUCAGGGGAGAAGAGACUGGGUUGGGAUGGAAAAGAAAAAGAGGGCUCUCAAAAAGGCUGAGAGGCAGGCAGACCAAACUUUCAAAGCUGUACGCAGCAAAGGAGCCCAGGGGCUGGGUGGACACAGCUGGGUGGGUGAGAGGGAGCAGGAGGGGAGAGGUACCUUCCGAGGCCUUGGCCUGCUUGCUGAUAUACUCCUCAAUCUUCAUCAUGAUCUCAGCAAACUGUUCAGGGAGGACAGAGAGACAGAACUCAGGACUCUCAGAAAGAAGAGCAACUGCACACAUCAGCCCUCCCGGCAGCUUCUCUCUACAGCCCACUCACCAUCUUGCUGUCCCACAGCUUGGCGAUACUCUUGACUGAAUCCCCAGAAAGAUCCAGCUGCGUCUCCUCCUGCACAUCCUCGAUUGCUGGCUCCUCUUCUUCCUCCCCAUAGCUUCCUCCUUCUUCCUCCUCUGCCGCCUCCUCAAGGUCGGCCAGAAGCUCAUCUGCCAGAGACAUGCCGAGGCCUAUGGGAAGGGAAAGCAGCAUCCCCUCUCAUUAACGAGAGGGGCUUGGCCUGGUCCUUCACGGGUCAGCCCCACAAGCAUGCAGGCUCCAUAAGCACGGGUAUUUUCUUUUGCUUUGUUCUUUGGCACCUAAUUGUGCCUGGCACCUAAUAGAUGCUCAUUAAACACCCACUGAAUCACUUUGUGAACAAACCUCCCAGAACUAGGUGAUCUCUGGUCACAGCUCACACCACCUUCCCUUCUCACACUUACUUCACUGGAAAAGACACAGCAUGCCCCUCACACAACCACUUUAAAAGACUUGAAGACUUUGAAAACCUCCCCUUGAUGAGAUGGGACCUCUCUUCUGACCAUUUUUCUCCCAUACAGAGACCCCUCUUCAAAAUUGUUGGGUGACAGAUAUCCUAAAAUACCAAUCUCCCCAGCCAUCAUGGCAACCAUGUGGGGCCUCAAGUGUCUGGAGCCCCCAGGCUGAUCCCCUCUGGCCAUGAGCAGUCUCCUCAUCUACUCCCGGUGUUGGACAAAACGUGUAUUUUCUUUGAGUCCCAUGAUGUGGAAAAGAGCAGGAAGCACGACUCAGCAAGAAAAGCUCUCUUCCCACAGAACACACCUUGCUCCCCAUACGCAGGACGUGGGUAUCUGUGCACAUCCUCUCCCGUUUCCCCACUUGACGGAACCAGCACGGCACAGACACGGCAGCAACGGGGUCUGCUCCCGCUACACCGCCAGAGCGCGGACGCCGCAGAGGCUUGGAGGACCUUCGCGCCACCCCUCCAGUAAGG